Molecule: transfer RNA, 66 nt
Filed under: Geukensia demissa (ribbed mussel)
Lineage: Eukaryota; Metazoa; Mollusca; Bivalvia; Mytilida; Mytilidae
Description: tRNA-Arg
Source: RNAcentral
AGUCUGUUGGUCGUAUUAGACGUUUUGGUUUCGGCCCGAAGAGUAUGAGUUUAUUCAUGUAGAUUA